GAUGAACGCUCGCGGCAGGCCUAAUACAUGCAAGUCGAACGGGAUCCAGAUCAAAGCUUGCUUUGGUUUGGUGAGAGUGGCGUACGGGUGCGUAACGCGUGAGCAACCUACCCUUGUCAGGGGGAUAGCCCGGCGAAAGUCGGAUUAAUACCGCAUGACAUCAUUGAGAGGCAUCUUUCGAUGAUCAAAGAUUUAUCGGACAAGGAUGGGCUCGCGUGACAUUAGCUAGUUGGUAAGGUAACGGCUUACCAAGGCUACGAUGUCUAGGGGCUCUGAGAGGAGAAUCCCCCACACUGGUACUGAGACACGGACCAGACUCCUACGGGAGGCAGCAGUAAGGAAUAUUGGUCAAUGGACGGAAGUCUGAACCAGCCAUGCCGCGUGCAGGAAGACGGCCCUAUGGGUUGUAAACUGCUUUUAUACGGGAACAAACGUCGGUACGUGUACCGGUCUGAGUGUACCGUAAGAAUAAGGAUCGGCUAACUCCGUG
Molecule: ribosomal RNA, 490 nt
Filed under: uncultured bacterium
Lineage: Bacteria
Description: partial 16S ribosomal RNA
Rfam family: Bacterial small subunit ribosomal RNA
Source: RNAcentral